Molecule: long non-coding RNA, 717 nt
Organism: Bolinopsis microptera
Lineage: Eukaryota; Metazoa; Ctenophora; Tentaculata; Lobata; Bolinopsidae
Exons: 3
Source: RefSeq, a predicted model, not a curated record
GGCAGUAUAAAAUGGAAGGACCUGCCGACCGGCUACCAGAACCUGCCCUAUUUUAACAAGGACAUGGAAGUUGGAAUAACUGCACAGAAUUCAGCAGAUGUUUUCGAAAUAAAUCUUCCAAACGAUCAUGACCUGCCAAAGGAUGACCUGCCCAUCGAGUUUGACGUUGAAAACACAGGACUGGACAAUUCUGUCGAGCCAGCCCCCUUACCCCAACAUGAGAUUUUGGCCCUAAGAUUGCUUGCUAUGAGCAAACAGAUUUCAAUGAAUCUGGUCCCUGAGUUACGCGAGUCAGGAGGCUCUAAAUCAGAAGCUGAGCUGUCUAAGUGCACAUCAAUCAUUAAUUCGAUGCUCGCAAGCGUUGGGGAGAUGACUGCAAAUCAACUGAGAACGAAAGAAGCCAAUUAAGAACAACAUCAGAAGAACCGACGACCAAGAACCGAACCGAGUCAAGACUGCGUUUCUGGAACUUUUCCGACGAACAUCCCACACGUUUAUUUAUUCUAAAUUGUCACGUGAUCAAGAAAAAUUGGUUACCUGAACUUUGUUACCUUGUUCAAGACUUCUUAAAAGCUGGCAGAAUUCCCAGCACUUUUAAGACUAAUAAGGCGGAGACGGGAGAGUGCUCCCAGUGAUAUGAAACUGUCAGCCAGCCUGUUACCACCGGUUAAAUUAUGGUGUUUGAAUAUGAACAUGUGUAGUUGCUAAAUGCUACCG